UUCCUAAGAGUUGAAUUCAGUUCAGGGCAGCUUCUCUGUCUGUUCUUUAAACUUUGGGACAAUCGAAUGGACUAGGGGAGAUGAUUGAAUAGAAAAUAUUACUCUAUUCUGGGACCAGCAGAUGGCGUAC
Small nucleolar RNA from Tupaia belangeri (northern tree shrew), 130 nucleotides. The record is from Ensembl. Lineage: Eukaryota; Metazoa; Chordata; Mammalia; Scandentia; Tupaiidae.